CCUACGGGGGGCAGCAGUGAGGAAUUUUGCGCAAUGGGCGAAAGCCUGACGCAGCAACGCCGCGUGAGGGAAGAAGGCCUUCGGGUUGUAAACCUCUUUCGACUGGAAAGAAGUCCCUCGCAAGAGGGAUUGACGGUACCAGGAGAAGAAGCCACGGCUAACUCUGUGCCAGCAGCCGCGGUAAGACAGAGGUGGCAAGCGUUGUUCGGAGUUAUUGAGCGUAAAGGGUGUGUAGGUGGAUGGAUGAGUCGAAAGCCCACAGCUUAACUGUGGAAGUGCCUUUGAAACUAUCUGACUAGAGUGCAGGAGAGGAGGGUGGAAUUCCCGGUGUAGAGGUGAAAUUCGUAGAUAUCGGGAGGAACACCAGCGGCGAAGGCGGCCCUCUGGACUGUAACUGACACUGAAACACGAAAGCGUGGGGAGCAAACAGGAUUAGAUACCCCGGUAGUC
This 450-nucleotide ribosomal RNA is filed under the name uncultured bacterium. RNAcentral describes it as "partial 16S ribosomal RNA". It matches the Rfam family "Bacterial small subunit ribosomal RNA", at positions 338 to 795 of the family's 1533-position model. The record is from RNAcentral.